RNAcentral lists this ribosomal RNA (146 nucleotides) under Clostridium botulinum. RNAcentral describes it as "partial 16S ribosomal RNA". It matches the Rfam family "Bacterial small subunit ribosomal RNA", at positions 1 to 145 of the family's 1533-position model. The record is from RNAcentral. Lineage: Bacteria; Bacillati; Bacillota; Clostridia; Eubacteriales; Clostridiaceae.
UAAAUUUAGAGUUUGAUCCUGGCUCAGGACGAACGCUGGCGGCGUGCUUAACACAUGCAAGUCGAGCGAUGAAGCUUCCUUCGGGAAGUGAAUUAGCGGCGGACGGGUGAGUAACACGUGGGUAACCUGCCUCAAAGUGGGGGAUA